RNAcentral lists this ribosomal RNA (503 nucleotides) under uncultured bacterium. RNAcentral describes it as "partial 16S ribosomal RNA". It matches the Rfam family "Bacterial small subunit ribosomal RNA", at positions 899 to 1397 of the family's 1533-position model. The record is from RNAcentral.
ACUCAAAUGAAUAGACGGGGACCCGCACAAGCGGUGGAGCAUGUGGUUUAAUUCGAAGCAACGCGAAGAACCUUACCUAAACUUGACAUCCUUUUGACCGGUACCUAAUAGUACCUUUCGGAGCUUGCUCCGACAAGAGUGACAGGUGGUGCAUGGUUGUCGUCAGCUCGUGUCGUGAGAUGUUGGGUUAAGUCCCGCAACGAGCGCAACCCUUAUCUUUAGUAGCCAUCAUUAAGUUGGGCACUCUAGAGAGACUGCCAGGGAUAACCUGGAGGAAGGUGGGGAUGACGUCAAAUCAUCAUGCCCCUUAUGUUUAGGGCUACACACGUGCUACAAUGGCUGCUACAAAGGGAAGCGAUCUAGUGAUAGUUAGCAAACCUCAAAAAAGCAGUCCCAGUUCGGAUUGUAGUCUGCAACUCGACUACAUGAAGUUGGAAUCGCUAGUAAUCGCGAAUCAGAAUGUCGCGGUGAAUACGUUCCCGGGUCUUGUACACACCGCCCGU